Osmerus eperlanus (European smelt) is the source of this 287-nucleotide long non-coding RNA. RefSeq lists it as uncharacterized. The record is from RefSeq and is a predicted model, not a curated record. The transcript has 3 exons. NCBI's taxonomy places the organism in Eukaryota, Metazoa, Chordata, Actinopteri, Osmeriformes, Osmeridae.
AUUUAGAUUAUUUUCAUUGUAAAGAUUUGCAUCACUUUUACAAUGCAACUUUUAUAAUGCAAUUUUACAACCUUGAAGAUGUUAUGUUGAAAACAUCUUAUGAAUCAUCAGUCCUACGCAGCUGAUGGAUGAUAAUAGUCAUGGCGUGGCACCCCGAGUGGAUGAAAUCAUGGCAUCCCUUCGUGCACCACUUGGCUGGCAGCACAGUGACAGUUUCAAAGAGGGCCUUCCUGCGGCUAAGCCGAACUCGCAUGACCAUUUUUGCCCAGGAGCUGGCUGUCCUGGUG